GACGAACGCUGGCGGCGUGCUUAACACAUGCAAGUCGAACGGAAAGGCCCUGCUUUUGUGGGGUGCUCGAGUGGCGAACGGGUGAGUAACACGUGAGUAACCUGCCCUUUACUUUGGGAUAACUUCAGGAAACUGUGGCUAAUACCGGAUAGGAGCUCCUGCUGCAUGGUGGGUGUUGGAAAGUUUCGGCGGUUGGGGAUGGACUCGCGGCUUAUCAGCUUGUUGGUGGGGUAGUGGCUUACCAAGGCCUUGACGGGUAGCCGGCCUGAGAGGGUGACCGGCCACAUUGGGACUGAGAUACGGCCAAGACUCCUACGGGAGGAAGCAGUGGGGAAUAUUGCACAAAGGGCGGAAGCCGGAUGCAGCAACGCCGCGUGCGGGAUGACGGCCUUCGGGUUGUAAACCGCUUGCGCCUGUGACGAAGCGUGAGUGACGGUAAUGGGUAAAGAAGCACCGGCUAACUACGUG
Molecule: ribosomal RNA, 468 nt
Filed under: uncultured bacterium
Lineage: Bacteria
Description: partial 16S ribosomal RNA
Rfam family: Bacterial small subunit ribosomal RNA
Source: RNAcentral